GAUGAACGCUGGCGGCGUGCCUAAUACAUGCGAGUCGAGCGAACAGACGAGGAGCUUGCUCCUCUGACGUUAGCGGCGGACGGGUGAGUAACACGUGGAUAACCUACCUAUAAGACUGGGAUAACUUCGGGAAACCGGAGCUAAUACCGGAUAAUAUAUUGAACCGCAUGGUUCAAUAGUGAAAGACGGUCUUGCUGUCACUUAUAGAUGGAUCCGCGCUGCAUUAGCUAGUUGGUAAGGUAACGGCUUACCAAGGCAACGAUGCGUAGCCGACCUGAGAGGGUGAUCGGCCACACUGGAACUGAGACACGGUCCAGACUCCUACGGGAGGCAGCAGUAGGGAAUCUUCCGCAAUGGGCGAAAGCCUGACGGAGCAACGCCGCGUGAGUGAUGAAGGUCUUCGGAUCGUAAAACUCUGUUAUUAGGGAAGAACAAAUGUGUAAGUAACUAUGCACGUCUUGACGGUACCUAAUCAGAAAGCCACGGCUAACUACGUG
Molecule: ribosomal RNA, 497 nt
Filed under: uncultured bacterium
Lineage: Bacteria
Description: partial 16S ribosomal RNA
Rfam family: Bacterial small subunit ribosomal RNA
Source: RNAcentral